ACCCGCUGAAACUUAAGCAUAUCAAUAAGCUUGAGGAAAAGAAACCAACAGGGAUUGCCUUAGCUAACGGCGAGUGAAGCGGCAAAAGCUCAAAUUUGAAAUCUGGCACCUUCGGUGUCCGAGUUGUAAUUUGAAGAAGGUAACUUUGGAGUUGGCUCUUGUCUAUGUUCCUUGGAACGGGACGUCACAGAGGGUGAGAAUCCCGUGCGAUGAGAUGCCCAAUUCUAUGUAAAGUGCUUUCGAAGAGUCGAGUUGUCUUGGGAAUGCAUCUCUAAGUGGGUGGUGAAUUACCCAUCUAAAGCUAAAUAUUGGCGAGAGACCGAUAGCGAACAAGUACAGUGAUGGAAAGAUGAAAAGAACUUUGAAAAGAGAGUGAAAAAGUACGUGAAAUUGUUGAAAGGGAAGGGCUUGAGAUCAGACUUGGUAUUUUGCAAGCCUUACCUUCGUGGUGGGGUCCCCUGCAGUUUACUGGGCCAGCAUCGGUUUGGAUGGUGGGAUAAUGACUUGGGAAUGUGGCUUUGCUUCGGUAAAGUGUUAUAG
This 540-nucleotide ribosomal RNA is filed under the name uncultured yeast. RNAcentral's name for it is "eukaryotic LSU rRNA". It matches the Rfam family "Eukaryotic large subunit ribosomal RNA", at positions 23 to 562 of the family's 3401-position model. Lineage: Eukaryota; Fungi. The record is from RNAcentral.